AUUGAACGCUGGCGGCGUGCCUAACACAUGCAAGUCGAGCGGCAGCGCGGGAGCAAUCCUGGCGGCGAGCGGCGGACGGGUGAGUAAUGCUUGGGAAUCUGCCUGUUAGUGGGGGACAACCCGGGGAAACUCGGGCUAAUACCGCAUACGCACUACGGUGGAAAGCCGGGGACCGCAAGGCCUGGCGCUAACAGAUGAGCCCAAGUCGGAUUAGCUAGUUGGUAGGGUAACGGCCACCAAGGCGACGAUCCGUAACUGGUCUGAGAGGACGACCAGUCACACCGGAACUGAGACACGGUCCGGACUCCUACGGGAGGCAGCAGUGGGGAAUAUUGGACAAUGGGGGAAACCCUGAUCCAGCGACGCCGCGUGGGUG
RNAcentral lists this ribosomal RNA (376 nucleotides) under uncultured bacterium. Its description in RNAcentral is "bacterial SSU rRNA". It matches the Rfam family "Bacterial small subunit ribosomal RNA", at positions 29 to 407 of the family's 1533-position model. The record is from RNAcentral.